This 253-nucleotide ribosomal RNA is filed under the name uncultured bacterium. RNAcentral describes it as "partial 16S ribosomal RNA". It matches the Rfam family "Bacterial small subunit ribosomal RNA", at positions 524 to 776 of the family's 1533-position model. The record is from RNAcentral.
UACGGAGGGAGCGAGCGUUGUUCGGAAUUACUGGGCGUAAAGCGUGCGCAGGCGGAUUUCCAAGUCAGGAGUGAAAUCCCCGGGCUUAACCCGGGAAUUGCUUUUGAAACUGGAUGUCUUGAGUCUCGGAGAGGUUGGCGGAAUUCCCAGUGUAGCAGUGAAAUGCGUAGAUAUUGGGAGGAACACCAGUGGCGUAAGCGGCCAACUGGACGAGUACUGACGCUCAUGCACGAAAGUGUGGGGAUCAAACAGG